GAACGCUGGCGGCGUGCUUAACACAUGCAAGUCGAACGGAGAACUUUCUUCGGAAUGUUCUUAGUGGCGAACGGGUGAGUAACGCGUAGGCAACCUGCCCUCUGGUUGGGGACAACAUUCCGAAAGGGAUGCUAAUACCGAAUGAGAUCCUCUUUCCGCAUGGAGAGAGGAUGAAAGAUGGCCUCUACUUGUAAGCUAUCGCCAGAAGAUGGGCCUGCGUCUGAUUAGCUAGUAGGUGAGGUAACGGCUCACCUAGGCGAUGAUCAGUAGCCGGUCUGAGAGGAUGAACGGCCACAUUGGGACUGAGACACGGCCCAAACUCCUACGGGAGGCAGCAGUGGGGAAUCUUCCGCAAUGGACGAAAGUCUGACGGAGCAACGCCGCGUGAGUGAUGAAGGCCUUCGGGUUGUAAAACUCUGUUGUCAGGGACGAAAGCACCGAUCUAUAAUACAUUUUGGUGUUGACGGUACCUGACGAGGAAGCCACGGCUAACUACGUGCCAGCAGCCGCGGUAAUACGUAGGUGGCAAGCGUUGUCCGGAAUUAUUGGGCGUAAAGAGCAUGUAGGCGGGCUUUUAAGUCCGACGUGAAAAUGCGGGGCUUAACCCCGUAUGGCGUUGGAUACUGGAAGUCUUGAGUGCAGGAGAGGAAAGGGGAAUUCCCAGUGUAGCGGUGAAAUGCGUAGAUAUUGGGAGGAACACCAGUGGCGAAGGCGCCUUUCUGGACUGUGUCUGACGCUGAGAUGCGAAAGCCAGGGUAGCAAACGGGAUUAGAUACCCCGGUAGUCCUGGCCGUAAACGAU
RNAcentral lists this ribosomal RNA (801 nucleotides) under human gut metagenome. Its description in RNAcentral is "bacterial SSU rRNA". It matches the Rfam family "Bacterial small subunit ribosomal RNA", at positions 31 to 810 of the family's 1533-position model. The record is from RNAcentral.